Molecule: ribosomal RNA, 206 nt
Filed under: uncultured bacterium
Lineage: Bacteria
Description: partial 16S ribosomal RNA
Rfam family: Bacterial small subunit ribosomal RNA
Source: RNAcentral
AGCGUAGACGGAGUGGCAAGUCUGAUGUGAAAGGCAUGGGCUCAACCUGUGGACUGCAUUGGAAACUGUCAUACUUGAGUGCCGGAGGGGUAAGCGGAAUUCCUAGUGUAGCGGUGAAAUGCGUAGAUAUUAGGAGGAACACCAGUGGCGAAGGCGGCUUACUGGACGGUAACUGACGUUGAGGCUCGAAAGCGUGGGAGCAAACA